CCUACGGGUGGCAGCAGUAGGGAAUCUUCCACAAUGGACGAAAGUCUGAUGGAGCAACGCCGCGUGAGUGAAGAAGGCUUUCGGCUCGUAAAGCUCUGUUGGUAGUGAAGAAAGAUAGAGGUAGUACUUGGCCUUUAUUUGACGCUACUUACUUACAAAGUCCCGGCUAACUACGUGCCAGCAGCCGCGGUAAUACGUAGGUGGCAAGCGUUGUCCGGAUUUAUUGGGCGUAAAGCGAGUGCAGGCGGUACAAUAAGUCUGAUGUGAAAGCCUUCGGCUCAACCGGAGAAUUGCAUCAGAAACUGUUGAACUGGAGUGCAGAAGAGGAGGGUGGAACUCCAUGUGUAGCGGUGGAAUGCGUAGAUAUAUGGAAGAACACCAGUGGCGAAGGCGGCUCGCUGGACUGCAACUGACGCUGAGGCGCGAAAGCAUGGGUAGCGAACAGGAUUAGAUACCCGUGUAGUC
Molecule: ribosomal RNA, 465 nt
Filed under: uncultured bacterium
Lineage: Bacteria
Description: partial 16S ribosomal RNA
Rfam family: Bacterial small subunit ribosomal RNA
Source: RNAcentral